Molecule: long non-coding RNA, 649 nt
Filed under: Mytilus galloprovincialis (Mediterranean mussel)
Lineage: Eukaryota; Metazoa; Mollusca; Bivalvia; Mytilida; Mytilidae
Source: RNAcentral
GGGGGAGGGGGGCAUUUUAUUUGGUAUACAGGAAAGCAUUUUGACCGCAGUUCAUAAGAGGAAGAAUGUUUUUUUUUAUUUGUAUUUAAUUAUUUGGUGAGACUAUAAUAAUCAGGUGCAAAAAUCAUUUGCUUUUAGAUUUGCGUGAAAUAGCUUUUGUCUACAUUGGAAAUAUUCCUAACCGUGUCUGUAAAGGGAGCGUGUGUGUGUUUUUCGUUUGUUUGUUUGUAUAUUUUUUUUGUAAUUUGAGUGUUAAGUUGGUUAUGAAGACCUAAUUUUGAAUGAAUACUCCUUUGCAUGAUUUUGACUGCCUAGACGGAAUAGUGUGUCUUCGUAUAAAAGACGCCACUGUGCAGAAACGUCUAAAUGACGCCCUUGGACAUAAUGGCUAGACAUAGGAAAUGCUUUCUAAAAAAAGUUGCAAAGUCAUGAUGUUUGUGAAAAUACCCGAUUCAUUUGACCAUUGUUAUGAACUUAUAGUCUGCAUCUUUUAAAUAUGCUAACAUUACAUUUUAAGUGCAUAUUUUUUAUUUAUAUCACAUAUUUCGAAUAAGGAUUUGAAACAAAUAACGUUUGGACAUAGUGGCUAGACAUGCGAUUUAUUAAAAUUCUGCUUCAUAAAAUAGUUUUUUUUACAUUUGAAACUUUG